Molecule: transfer RNA, 72 nt
Organism: Camelus ferus (Wild Bactrian camel)
Lineage: Eukaryota; Metazoa; Chordata; Mammalia; Artiodactyla; Camelidae
Rfam family: tRNA
About the family: Transfer RNA (tRNA) molecules are approximately 80 nucleotides in length. Their secondary structure includes four short double-helical elements and three loops (D, anti-codon, and T loops).
Source: Rfam
GAGGGUACAGCUCAGUGAUAGAGUGCGUGGUUAGAAUGCACGAAAUCCUGGGUUCAAUCCCCAGUACCUCCA